RNAcentral lists this ribosomal RNA (481 nucleotides) under uncultured bacterium. RNAcentral's name for it is "partial 16S ribosomal RNA". It matches the Rfam family "Bacterial small subunit ribosomal RNA", at positions 30 to 506 of the family's 1533-position model. The record is from RNAcentral.
AUUGAACGCUGGCGGCAUGCCUUACACAUGCAAGUCGAACGGUAACAGGUCUUCGGAUGCUGACGAGUGGCGAACGGGUGAGUAAUACAUCGGAACGUGCCCAGACGUGGGGGAUAACGAGGCGAAAGCUUUGCUAAUACCGCAUACGAUCUAAGGAUGAAAGCAGGGGACCGCAAGGCCUUGUGCGUUUGGAGCGGCCGAUGGCAGAUUAGGUAGUUGGUGGGAUAAAAGCUUACCAAGCCGACGAUCUGUAGCUGGUCUGAGAGGACGACCAGCCACACUGGGACUGAGACACGGCCCAGACUCCUACGGGAGGCAGCAGUGGGGAAUUUUGGACAAUGGGCGAAAGCCUGAUCCAGCAAUGCCGCGUGCAGGAUGAAGGCCUUCGGGUUGUAAACUGCUUUUGUACGGAACGAAAAGGCUCUGGCUAAUACCUGGGGCACAGGACGGUACCGUAAGAAUAAACACCGGCUAACUACGU